RNAcentral lists this ribosomal RNA (114 nucleotides) under Acanthosepion pharaonis. The record is from RNAcentral. Lineage: Eukaryota; Metazoa; Mollusca; Cephalopoda; Sepiida; Sepiidae.
UUACGGUCAAAUCACGCUGAAACACCGGUUCUCGUAGGAUCACCGAAGUUAAGCAUCGUAGAGCCAGGUCAGUACUUAGAUAUGGGACCGCUUGGGAACACCUGGUACUGUAAG